This 135-nucleotide ribosomal RNA is filed under the name Brunneosphaerella jonkershoekensis. Its description in RNAcentral is "partial 18S ribosomal RNA". It matches the Rfam family "Eukaryotic small subunit ribosomal RNA", at positions 1699 to 1831 of the family's 1831-position model. Lineage: Eukaryota; Fungi; Ascomycota; Dothideomycetes; Mycosphaerellales; Mycosphaerellaceae. The record is from RNAcentral.
CAGUGAGGCCUUCGGACUGGCCCAGGGAGGUCGGCAACGACCACCCAGGGCCGGAAAGUUGGUCAAACUCGGUCAUUUAGAGGAAGUAAAAGUCGUAACAAGGUCUCCGUAGGUGAACCUGCGGAGGGAUCAUUA